GGGAACAGGGAGACUGUCUUCCACAGCCCCAGGAACCCUGGCAGGGAUACAGCAGGCCCCCCACCCCCUGCGCUGACAUGGCCCACUUCCCCUGGCCUGAGCAUCGCAUACUGAGGGCGAGUCUUUUUCCCCUGGGACAGCACCUCACAGCUGCAGGGACACCAGCCUGCCGACAGCUUGCCGGACGCCCCGCGACUGUGCACAUGGAAGGGUGCAGGGCACCUGCACCAGAGAGAGAGAGAGAAAUAAGAAAGCGAGCUGCCAGGUCCGGACGUGAGCAUGUUCGGACAUGGGAAGGUCCAGUGCGCCGACCACCACACCACCUGCUGGCCCUACAACAUUGAGACCUUCCUGCACGCCAGUCACCUCGAGGCACUCUUCACACAUUAUUCUUUAGUUGCCACAGUCGGCCACUAGGGGGAGAAGCACUAUUGGUAUCCCUGUUCAGAAAGGAAUAAGCUGAGUAACCUGCACAUGGUGGACUUCAACAACUUAGCUUCCUUCUCUGUAC
This is a long non-coding RNA of Tupaia belangeri chinensis (Chinese tree shrew), 511 nucleotides long. RefSeq lists it as uncharacterized. The transcript has 3 exons. Lineage: Eukaryota; Metazoa; Chordata; Mammalia; Scandentia; Tupaiidae. The record is from RefSeq and is a predicted model, not a curated record.